AAAUAGACAAAUAUUGUACAUAGGCAAGAUAGAGGUUUCAUCCAUGGAGCAAUAUUCCCAGCAAUUCCCUAAGCAUCCAAGUGAAUCAGGCAUCUCAGACCGAUGCCCUGGAGCAUGUAAUCAAAUGCCUUGUUGAUGUCGGCGAAAGGUACAGAGUGAGUGAUGAACUUGUCCAUAUCGAUCCCCAGCUCCUGCAACAUCAAGAAAUCGUCAUGUUAUCAUAUUCGCAUAUAUAUGGAGCUAGAAGACUGAGUGAUGGAUAGUAGGUAAUGAAUUGUCUAAACAGAUACCGAAACUCAUCACCUUGUUCAUGUAUUUGUUGACAAAAUUAGGAAUAUCUGAGACAGGUUUGUAGUUGCCAUAGAAAGCACCCUUGAGAGUCCUCUCACUCAGCAGAUUCAAUGGAUGAGUCUUGAACGCAUCAUCUAUCUUUGGCACACCGACAAGCACACAUACACCCCAACCCUGAAUAGAAGCAUAUCCAUAUAUUUUUUCAGCUAAAACAGACAAAGUAACGGGUAUAGUUUCUAUUUUUAACAGAGAGGGGGUUUGGAUAAUCUAAUU
RNAcentral lists this long non-coding RNA (564 nucleotides) under Theobroma cacao (cacao). RNAcentral describes it as "long non-coding RNA (TCAC_LNC004825)". Lineage: Eukaryota; Viridiplantae; Streptophyta; Magnoliopsida; Malvales; Malvaceae. The record is from RNAcentral.